Molecule: long non-coding RNA, 831 nt
Filed under: Rattus norvegicus (Norway rat)
Lineage: Eukaryota; Metazoa; Chordata; Mammalia; Rodentia; Muridae
Description: long non-coding RNA NONRATT019598
Source: RNAcentral
GUGUCAUCACUGAAGAACACAAGGAAUGCCAGAGAAGAUGGUAGCUGUGAGUGAGGGUGACAGAGGCUGGAGCAAGCAGAGGCACAGGCAUUUCCCAGCAUUUCCUCCACUGUCCAGCACGGUUCACACCAGGGGAGCUUUAGGUCCCACCAGCAACAGUAGCAGCAGCUCCCACUCAAGGGACUUCCCAGAAGCCAGUAAAGAGACCAGGAACCACCUCAAUCAGCAGGACAUCCUCACCACCCUCUUACAGAUGCCCCUUUGCCCAUCCUGAAUGCACAGCCUCCCUGGCUUUGCCCUUCAGCCCCUGCUUGGCUGUAUGCACUGUCUGUAUUGCACUGAGAAAGAAGGGACAGCAGGAGUGAAAUGGGGAGGGAGCUGGCUUGGCACCACCCCUCCCUGCCCUGCCCACUCGCCUAAGCUUGCUGCCCUCUGAGAGGGGAGAGGGGCGGCUGGGAGGGCUUUCCACCUGACGUCCCUGGUGGAACAGGUGCUUCUGGGCGGGCCAGCCUCUAAUUUGCACACCUGAAAUCGCGGAAUUGAGUUUAGAUAGAUUGAUUUUUUAAACACUUUUUUUUUGGGGGGGGGGAGUAGGUGUAGGGGAAUCAUUUAAUUUAAAUCAUAAAAAUUCCCCUACCCAAACCCUGACUCCUGUGUACAGAUGCUCUUUAGAGGGAAUCAGAAAAUGCCAAGCCUUUUUUCUCUUUGAAUGUGCUGUCUAUUUUUAUAACUGAACUUGUACAUAUGUAUAAAGAGAGACACAUCUUUCUUUUACUAACUGGAUAAAAAAUCUUAAAUAAAAUGGAGUGAGAUAAUUUUAUGUAAAUUAAA